RNAcentral lists this unclassified non-coding RNA (272 nucleotides) under Orbilia sp. RNAcentral describes it as "partial contains 5.8S ribosomal RNA, internal transcribed spacer 2, and large subunit ribosomal RNA". The record is from RNAcentral. Lineage: Eukaryota; Fungi; Ascomycota; Orbiliomycetes; Orbiliales; Orbiliaceae.
CGCACAUUGCGCCCAUUGGUAUUCCGAUGGGCACGUCUGUUUGAGCGUCAUCGCAACCCUUCGGCUCCGCCUUUGGCAGCCGGUGCUGGGCUCUGUCCUGACCCAACUUUGGUUGGGGGACUGGCUUUAAAGUUGCGCGCUCCGCGGGCCUGCCGACCCAGCUAAACAUAGUAGAAUCUCCGAAUUGUUGAACUGGUUGGUAGGGCUCCGCCUGAAAAAAACCUCUCUUGAAGUUUGACCUCAGAUCAGACGAGGAUACCCGCUGAACUUAA